RNAcentral lists this transfer RNA (84 nucleotides) under Bergeyella sp. Its description in RNAcentral is "tRNA-Leu". It matches the Rfam family "tRNA". Rfam says of the family: Transfer RNA (tRNA) molecules are approximately 80 nucleotides in length. Their secondary structure includes four short double-helical elements and three loops (D, anti-codon, and T loops). RNAcentral also lists the same sequence under 3 other names. Lineage: Bacteria; Pseudomonadati; Bacteroidota; Flavobacteriia; Flavobacteriales; Weeksellaceae. The record is from RNAcentral.
GCCCUGGUGGUGGAAUUGGUAGACACGCAGGACUUAAAAUCCUGUGUCCGUAAGGACGUACGGGUUCAAGUCCCGUCUGGGGUA